This 333-nucleotide ribosomal RNA is filed under the name Triticum aestivum (bread wheat). Its description in RNAcentral is "partial small subunit ribosomal RNA". Lineage: Eukaryota; Viridiplantae; Streptophyta; Magnoliopsida; Poales; Poaceae. The record is from RNAcentral.
AUGGCGGAGUCGACGGCGAGCAUCGGCGGGUACAUGGCAUCGGGGUACCGGAGGCUGGCUGGCGUGCAGCUCUACAUCAACCACCUCAAGCCCGCCUGCCUCGACGACCGCAUCGAGGCCAAGGCGAACCCCAUCCGGUACCUCAACCCCGACGCGUACUUGGAAAAGGACCAGCUACUGGACGCGGUGCAUUGGAUCCGGCAGGCGGUGGGGCUUGCCUGCGACCUGCUCUGGGGCACCGCCCCCCUCGUCGGCGCCUUCUGGAUCGCCUUGUCAGUCCCUCCCUCCCUCCAUCCUCAAAUCCCCAACCUUCUUCUUUCCCUUGAGACAUAG